Molecule: ribosomal RNA, 397 nt
Filed under: uncultured bacterium
Lineage: Bacteria
Description: partial 16S ribosomal RNA
Rfam family: Bacterial small subunit ribosomal RNA
Source: RNAcentral
AUACGUAGGGGGCGAGCGUUGUCCGGAAUGAUUGGGCGUAAAGGGCGCGUAGGCGGCCCGGUAAGUCUGGAGUGAAAGUCCUGUUUUUAAGAUGGGAACUGCUUUGGAUACUGUCGGGCUUGAGUGCAGGAGAGGUAAGUGGAAUUCCCAGUGUAGCGGUGAAAUGCGUAGAGAUUGGGAGGAACACCAGUGGCGAAGGCGACUUACUGGACUGUAACUGACGCUGAGGCGCGAAAGUGUGGGGAGCAAACAGGAUUAGAUACCCUGGUAGUCCACACUGUAAACGAUGAAUGCUAGGUGUAGGGGGUAUCGACCCCUUCUGUGCCGCAGUCAACACAAUAAGCAUUCCGCCUGGGGAGUACGGCCGCAAGGUUGAAACUCAAAUGAAUUGACGGGG